GAAUGGCAUCACGAGGGUUACACUGUCUCCCCCUUCCAAUCAGUGAAACUAAUCUCCCCGUGAAGAAGCGGGGAUAAAUAUAUAAGACGAGAAGACCCCAUGGAGCUUUAAACUCAAUAUCAACUGCCACCACACACACCAUAUUAAACAGGCAGAUCAUGACUAUUAGUUUUCGGUUGGGGUGACCGCGGAGCAAAACAAAACCUCCACAAUGAAUGAUUUACCUCUAAUCUAAGAGCCACAACUCCAAGAAUCAAUAAAUUGACAUAAAUUGAUCCAAAUUAUUUUGAUCAACGAACCAAGUUACCCUGGGGAUAACAGCGCAAUCCAUUUCAAGAGCUCCUAUCGACAAAUGG
Molecule: ribosomal RNA, 356 nt
Filed under: Stereocyclops incrassatus (Brazilian dumpy frog)
Lineage: Eukaryota; Metazoa; Chordata; Amphibia; Anura; Microhylidae
Description: partial 16S ribosomal RNA
Rfam family: Bacterial large subunit ribosomal RNA
Source: RNAcentral